CUGGCCAAUCAGAGUCCUUGCUUCGAAUUCUUCAAAUUGACUCUGGGAAAAAGGGUUCGUUUUCUCUGGUAGUGAGACCUUGCAGUCUAAGGUCUUGUAAGCUGUCUCUGGCUUUUUCUUGGGCUGUGUGGAGGAAUCCACUCUGUAUGGAGAAUGAAGCUGACGGGCAGAGAGAAAUAGAGAUCCAAGAACCUUCUUGUAGGGUCUGGAUUGGGACCCUUUUCUGGUAACAUCUUCCUGGUGACCAUGAAGGGACAAUACUGAAGAGACCCCUGACCCUAAGGAAAUAGACUGCAGCACCAAUGGGCCAACUUUGGGGCGAUCAUCUUGCCCAGAAACAUCAUGUUGAAACUCUUGGUCAGAGGUUGGAUGAAAGCUGACAGGGUCCAUCCAGGAGCAAGUUUGAGCCUUGCCAGUUCCAUUUUGGGUGCUGAGUGGAGUGGCGACUAUAGCAAACCUGUGAUCUCUGGCUGCUGCUCAGAAGAAACAAGAGGGAGGGAUGAAUAAUGUAAAACUCUGGAUCAAUAUUCUAAUUCUGAGCCUCUAUUGGAAUCAGCUAGCAACCACAUAUCAGCUUGGUUUCAACAGUUUCCCAGUUCAUGCUGCUGAGAAGUUCAGAGUCAAACCUGAAUCUCACCUCUGCAAAGAGCACAGGACUCCAUGGCAAACGUUGUAUAUACGCAAGUCAUCCCUGGCACCACAUUGAUUUACUGCACCAGGCUUUCUUCAUUGUGAUGAUGUUCUCUCUCUUUUCUAAAAAAAAAAUAAAAAUAAAAUUUAAAAAAUCC
Molecule: long non-coding RNA, 788 nt
Filed under: Homo sapiens (human)
Lineage: Eukaryota; Metazoa; Chordata; Mammalia; Primates; Hominidae
Description: HSALNT0352637
Source: RNAcentral